GUAAGGAAUAUUGGACAAUGGGCGCAAGCCUGAUCCAGCCAUGCCGCGUGAAGGAUGAAGGCCCUAUGGGUCGUAAACUUCUUUUAUACGGGAAAAAACCCCCCGACGUGUCGGGGGUUGAUGGUACUGUAAGAAUAAGGGUCGGCUAACUUCGUGCCAGCAGCCGCGGUAAUACGAAGGACCCGAGCGUUAUCCGGAUUUAUUGGGUUUAAAGGGUGCGUAGGCGGAUUGAUAAGUCAGUGGUGAAAGCCUCCCGCUUAACGGGAGAAUUGCCAUUGAUACUGUCAGUCUUGAGUAUGGUUGAGGUGGGCGGAAUGUGUCAUGUAGCGGUGAAAUGCUUAGAUAUGACACAGAACACCAAUUGCGAAGGCAGCUCGCUAAACCAUAACUGACGCUGAUGCACGAAAGCGUGGGUAGCAAACAGGAUUAGAUACCCCAGUAGUCC
This 445-nucleotide ribosomal RNA is filed under the name uncultured bacterium. RNAcentral describes it as "bacterial SSU rRNA". It matches the Rfam family "Bacterial small subunit ribosomal RNA", at positions 354 to 796 of the family's 1533-position model. The record is from RNAcentral.